This is an RNA transcript of Arachis stenosperma, 2468 nucleotides long. It is a transcript of the gene named serine/threonine protein phosphatase 2A 57 kDa regulatory subunit B' beta isoform-like, with no coding region annotated. Lineage: Eukaryota; Viridiplantae; Streptophyta; Magnoliopsida; Fabales; Fabaceae. The transcript has 3 exons. The record is from RefSeq and is a predicted model, not a curated record.
UUGGAAUCUCUCUUAUCUUUCCUUAAUUAUUCUCCAAAGUCCAAACCUUGGUCACACGCACGCGCGCAUAUACACACACAUAGGCACACUCUUUUUCUCUCUCUUACACGCUCCUUCUGUGAUUCGUGCCGGAACACAUCUCCGACCGAUCAAUCGCCGGUAUUCCGGUGAUCCUUUCACCACUCUUAUUCCCGCCCCUACUCGACCACUUUCCAUCACUUGCAUUUCCCACCGUUUUGUCAGAUCCGUCGCCGUUUGGGUUGUGAUGCGAAAAUAUUGGGAGCACAAUAAGAAUUGUUCAUGGAUUAGGAAGAUCCUACAACCCUGUUUCCAUGCCUCCACUCACUUCACUCUCUCUCAAUCCAAUCACCAUCGCUACCACCACCACCACCUCCUCCUGAAUUCGCUUCUCAGAAAAACACCUUAGGGUUAGGGUUUCAAUUUUUUCAUCACAAAAUGUUCAAUAGAAUCAUGAAGAGAGGGCCGAAAAAGCCCUCCAAAUCAGAUGACUUCGGUGCUCCCGACGGCAAUCCAUUGCCUAACGCCGCCGGCGUCGUCGUCAACCAUGCUUCUCGCGGCGGAGCUGCCCCUCCGGCCGGCGCUGCCGCGGCUCCGACGAUGCCUCCGCCUUCCGGCACUAUUGAACCGUUGCCCCCGUUCCGCGAUGUGCCGGUCUCGGAGCGGCAGACCUUGUUCCUCCGGAAGCUCCAGAAUUGCUGCUUCUUGUUGGACUUCUCCGACACAUUGAAGAACGUUCGGGAGAAGGAGAUCAAGCGGCAAACGCUGAUGGAGCUCGUAGAUUUUAUCCAAUCGGGUUCUGGAAAGAUCACGGAGAAUUGCCAGGAGGAGAUGAUAAAGAUGAUAUCGGUUAACAUUUUCCGGUGCCUUCCACCGGCGUCGCACGAGAACACCGGGGCAGAGAACAAUGACCCAGAGGAGGAGGAGCCCUCUAUGGACGCGGCCUGGCCGCACUUGCAGCUCGUCUACGAACUUCUCCUUCGGUACGUGGUUUCUUCUGAUACUGAUACCAAGGUUGCGAAACGGUACAUUGAUCAUUCAUUCGUGCUUAAGUUGCUUGAUUUGUUUGGUUCCGAGGACCCUAGAGAGCGUGAGUAUUUGAAAACAAUAUUGCAUCGUAUAUAUGGGAAAUUCAUGGUUCACAGGCCCUUCAUUAGGAAGGCGAUUAACAACAUUUUUUAUCGUUUUAUAUAUGAGACUGAGAGACAUAGUGGUAUUGGGGAGCUUCUGGAGAUUCUUGGCAGCAUCAUUAAUGGGUUUGCGCUGCCCAUGAAGGAGGAACACAAGUUGUUCCUUGUUAGGGCGCUUUUGCCCCUACAUAAGCCUAAGUCUGUUGGCAUGUACCAUCAGCAGUUGUCGUACUGUAUCUUGCAGUUUGUCGAGAAGGAUUUCAAGCUCGCGGAUACGGUUAUUAGGGGCCUGUUGAAGUAUUGGCCUGUCACGAAUUGCCAGAAGGAGGUUCUCUUCCUUGGGGAAUUGGAGGAGGUGUUGGAGGCCACACAGGCUGCGGAGUUCCAACGCUGCAUGGUUCCCCUCUUUAGACAGAUUUCCCGCUGCCUCAAUAGUUCUCACUUUCAGGUUGCAGAACGAGCCCUCUUCCUCUGGAAUAAUGAGCAUAUUGUCAGCUUAAUUGCUCAAAACAGGACUGUAGUGCUACCCAUAAUAUAUGAAGCAUUGGAGAAAAAUAUUAAGAGUCAUUGGAACCAGGCAGUUCAUGGGUUGACAGUGAAUGUUCGGAAGAUGUUUGUUGAAAUGGACGCUGAAUUGGUUGAGGAGUGCCAGAGGCAGCAUGCAGAGAGAGAGGCUAAAGCCCAUGAAGUGGAGCAGCAGCGAGAAUUGAACUGGAAAAAAUUGGCAGAGGCAGCUGCCCAGAACGGACCACUGGAUAUGGUCACAGUUUAGCCAAACUUGACUGGUUUAACUGGGACUGUGAAUUGGGUAGAUGAAGGAUUAUGAAUCUGCUCCUUGCCAUUUUGGUGCCAUUAUUUAUUGGUAAUGUGCAUUACUUAACAUUGAGGUGGUAAUCUUAUAAGUUUUUAUAUUCCAGAAAUACCCUUUCAAACAAAGUUCACUUCCCCCAAUCUGUCCUCAGUGUCUUCUCUCUUUGUCUGGAAGCUCUCCAUCAAUAAUGAAACUUUCAUUAACCAUCGGCACAACUGGCACUGACUCAACUUUCUCCUCCUCCGGGGGUAAGCGCUUCCUCUUACCCUCUGUGGUGCAUCUCCACUCUGCCCAUUGCCCUUCGCAAACGGUUCAACAACCUUUAGUUUAAGAUCUGGGCUUUCAAAUUAGAUCUGCUUCAUCUUCACUCACUGUUAGUAGUGGCUAUGGGUCAUACUUUAUUUUCAUUUCUCCACUACAUACAUAGAUAAUGAAGUUUGGAUUUUUUUUAGGAAAUAAAAUUGUAUAAUGCAUAGAUAAUGAAAUUGGAGUAUUUUAUUUUAGUAUAA